UACGUAGGGUGCAAGCGUUGUCCGGAAUUAUUGGGCGUAAAGAGCUCGUAGGCGGUUUGUUGCGUCGGCUGUGAAAUCCCGAGGCUCAACCUCGGGUCUGCAGUCGAUACGAGCAAACUAGAGUGUUGCAGGGGAGACUGGAAUUCCUGGUGUAGCGGUGAAAUGCGUAGAUAUCAGGAGGAACACCGAUGGCGAAGGCAGGUCUCUGGGCUGACACUGACGCUCAUGCACGAAAGCGUGGGGAGC
Molecule: ribosomal RNA, 246 nt
Filed under: uncultured bacterium
Lineage: Bacteria
Description: partial 16S ribosomal RNA
Rfam family: Bacterial small subunit ribosomal RNA
Source: RNAcentral